AAGUAACAAUACGGGGCUUAAUGUCUUGUAAUUGGAAUGAUGGGAAUUUAAACCUCUUCCAGAGUAUCAAUUGGAGGGCAAGUCUGGUGCCAGCAGCCGCGGUAAUUCCAGCUCCAAUAGCGUAUAUUAAAAUUGUUGCAGUUAAAAAGCUCGUAGUUGAAUUUCUGCUGCAUUGCUUUUGCUCCUUUACGAGUCUUUGCAUUGUGGCUUAUUUCGGACUUUGUUUUACAAUGUCCGGAUGUUUACUUUGAGAAAAUUAGAGUGCUCAAAGCAGGCUUUCGCCUUGAAUAGUUUAGCGUGGAAUAAUAAAGUAGGACUUUGGUUCUAUUUUGUUGGUUUUAGGUACCAAAGUAAUGGUUAAUAGGAACAGUUGGGGGCAUUCGUAUUUA
RNAcentral lists this ribosomal RNA (389 nucleotides) under Theileria ovis. Its description in RNAcentral is "SSU rRNA". It matches the Rfam family "Eukaryotic small subunit ribosomal RNA", at positions 475 to 900 of the family's 1831-position model. Lineage: Eukaryota; Apicomplexa; Aconoidasida; Piroplasmida; Theileriidae. The record is from RNAcentral.